UAUCCUGUCAUAUGUUUUCACCUGAGCAUCUCAAUAUCUAAUACUCUUAUUUGCUUAAAAUACACGUGAUUAUUUUCUCCACCCUGACAUAUUUUAUGUUCAACUUUCUAAUUUCUAAAAAUGGACCUACCAUUGUCCUAUUUAUUCUUGCUUAAAUCUUGAUAUUUUCUUUGAGUUCAUGCUCCUUCGUAUUCACUCCAGCUGUGAUAAGUCACCAAUCCUUUGGGUUUUUACUUACCAGUAUUUCUAUUUCUGUUUCUAUAGCCUUAAAGCUGGAACUGUGUAGUCCCAGUUCCUCUGUGUAGCCCCCCAAGUCUGCUCUAUUUCAAUCUUCUCUUAAGGGAACUCCUUCCCUCCGUUUUUCUUUUCCUCCAUUUGAUACAUCACACUUAUAGAUGGGGCAUCUUCCCUAAUUACUGGCUUCAUCCUCAAUUCCCAGGACCCAUACCUUCACUGGCUUCCUAAAUUUAUUUAAUAAUUCUCAUAUACCUUUGAGAAGUUUCUAAUGAUAGGCAACAAAUGAAUAUUGACUACCUUUCUUAUUUUCCUUUAUUCACCAAAAUGAUUUUUAGGAUGUAGACAAUCUGUAUGCUUCAACAUACACCAAACUUACCAUUUUUGAAAUAUUUUACAAUCUACUUGAAAAGACUUCUUUAGACCCUAUAUUCAUGUAUUGUAAUAUUUAUCCUCUUUUAUGGCUAUACUCAAAUGCCACAUCACUAUAGUGCCUUCCCUCAUCACUGUAGCUAUCUCUUUUCACUCUACUUAUAUUGUAGAGGAUUUGUUACACUUCUUGAACUGCUGAUCUCAAGCGAUUUGCUUGCUUUGGCCUCCCAAAGUGCUGGGCUGACAGGCGUGAGCCACUGCACCUGGCCUGAUUUGUUCCACUUCUACUAUAUGCAUCACACAUGCCUGAUGCAUAUUUUAAUGCACGUUGGAUAAGGAUCGGCUUUGUACGACUUCAGUCUUUCUUGAUGUGUGACACCCACUUCUAUUUUGGCUCCACUUUAACAAAAUGAAUAAGUGAGAAGGUAAUACUGGAAACAGAACAUAACUGUGACUAGGAAUUUGGUCUUGACUCGCCAUUUAAUUUUCUGAUGUGCAUGACUGUUUUCUUCACAUGUGAAAUUUAACAUGAGGUUGAAACUGGAGAAUUUUAUAUUUUUCAUGAAAAAGGCAAUUUGGGAGAAAAGUCCAUUUUCCUGAGGAUAAGGUAUUGUAUGGUUUGACUGCUUUGCCUUGGCUGGUCAACACAUUUGUACACCUGGAUAGGCACAGUUUUCAGAAAUCCUUUCAAGCAUCUACCAAUUCUCCUGUCUACAAGUUUACCUUCCUCCCAUUUCUCAUUCCUAAUGACAAGGGAAAUAUCCAGUGUUAUCUGAAGUGGUCAUAAAAGACAUUUUUUUUCUUUUUAUGUGAGGAAUUGAAACUUAUGGCUUUAGAUUAUGGGGCUUACCAUCAAGGAAAGGGCGUAGCGUGGUCAGAGGACAAAACUUCUUCCUGCAUUUCUCAGGAAGUCUUUGAUUAGUGUGUCCACCUAGGAGCAAUUUUUUUUGGGGGGGGCGCUGGGAAAUAUACUUAAGUGAUUAAAUCCAAGUGUAGACAUGAGAGCUUUACCUAAAGCCAGGUCUAAUUACCAUACCUGAGAAUCAGGGAGUAUUUAAAAUUUGAGAAAUAAUUUUCUAUACUUGAAAGUCACUUAUGUAGGUAGGCCUCAGAUUAUAAUAAAUAACGUUUAUUGUGCUAUACUAUGUGGUAGGUAUGAGGUUAAGUAUUUUUACCUAUAUUAUAUCACUUAUUUCUUACAAAUGGAGCAAGGGAGCAAGCAAACAAGGGAGGUAUUAUUAUCCCUAUUUUAUGUAUUUAUGUAUUUAUUUUUGAUUUCUAUUCUUUUGGUUUUUUUGUUGUUUUUUAUUGAUGUAUCAUAGUUGUACAUGUUUUGGGGUACAUGUGAUAUUUUUGAUACAUGUAUACAAUGUGUAAUGAUCAAAUCAGAGUAAUUUGGAUAUUCAUCACCUCGAAUAUUUAUCUUUUCUUUGUGUUGGGAACAUUAUAAUUUUUCUCUGCUAGCUAUUUUAGAAUAUAUAAUAAAUUAUUGUUCCCUAUGAUUUCUCCAUUGUAUAAUUGAAUACUAAAAUUUAUUAUGUCUAUCUACAUAUCCCCAGUUCAAUAACUAUAAUUUCUCUGCUGUGCAAUCAAAUACUAGAACUUCUUCCUUCGAACGCUAUAUCCCUAAUUCAAUAACUAGUAAACUGAAGCUCAGCAUGGUCUAGGAACUUUGUUACAUUAACACAGCAAGUGAGUGUUGCAGCCUGGAUCCAAAAAUCAGGCCUGGUCGACCUCAAAGUCCAGAUUAUUGACCUUUCUACCAUAAUGUAUGGAGGAAUUAGAGAAAGAACAAAUCAGUGUGAAGGAGAAUUGUCAGUAAAAUUACAAGAAAAGAUUGAGAUCAUAAUUGACCUUUGAGGAUAAUAAAAUUUAAAGACCAAAAGGAUGGACUUCACAGAAACAUGACCUUAGGUUGUUUUUGCAGUUGUAGUAACUGGUUAUAUGACCAACAAAAUAUGAAGAAUGGGUACAAAUUCUGAUAGUAAUGAUCAGUCACUUUGCAAAUAUAAAGCUACUAUUUACUA
Molecule: long non-coding RNA, 2633 nt
Filed under: Homo sapiens (human)
Lineage: Eukaryota; Metazoa; Chordata; Mammalia; Primates; Hominidae
Description: HSALNT0338778
Source: RNAcentral